This 391-nucleotide RNase P RNA is filed under the name Hyphomicrobiales bacterium. RNAcentral's name for it is "Rhizobiales bacterium (grounwater metagenome) RNase P RNA component class A". It matches the Rfam family "Bacterial RNase P class A". Rfam says of the family: Ribonuclease P (RNase P) is a ubiquitous endoribonuclease, found in archaea, bacteria and eukarya as well as chloroplasts and mitochondria. The record is from RNAcentral. Lineage: Bacteria; Pseudomonadati; Pseudomonadota; Alphaproteobacteria; Hyphomicrobiales.
UCAGUCGGCCGGGCAGCCGCGGCGAGCGAUCGUCGAGGAAAGUCCGGGCUCCACGAAGAUACGGUGCCGGAUAACGUCCGGCGGGGGCGACCCCAGGGAAAGUGCCACAGAGAACAAACCGCCGGAUCUUCGGAUCGGGUAAGGGUGAAAAGGUGCGGUAAGAGCGCACCGCGUUCCUGGCGACAGGAGCGGCACGGCAAACCCCACCGGGAGCAAAGCCAAAUAGGGAUGACGCGGCCCAUUCUUGCGCAAGCGGAACGAGCCGGUUCUCUUCGGACCAGUCAUCCGGGUUGGCUGCUUGAGGCGUCUGGUAACAGGCGUCCCAGAGGAAUGGCUGCCACGCGGGGGCAACCCCGCCAUACAGAACCCGGCUUACAGGCCGGCUGAUAUC